Molecule: ribosomal RNA, 774 nt
Filed under: uncultured Neocallimastigales
Lineage: Eukaryota; Fungi; Neocallimastigomycota; Neocallimastigomycetes; Neocallimastigales
Description: partial large subunit ribosomal RNA
Rfam family: Eukaryotic large subunit ribosomal RNA
Source: RNAcentral
GUACACGCUGUGACUAGCAUAUCAAUAAGCGGAGGAAAAGAAACUAACAAGGAUUCCCCUAGUAACGGCGAGUGAAGCGGGAAGAGCUCAAAUUUGAAAUCUUAAAGGGUUUCCCUUUACGAAUUGUAGUUUAAAGAAGUGUUUUCUGUUGAGGUUUUGGUAAAAGUUCUUUGGAAUAGGACAUCAUAGAGGGUGAGAAUCCCGUAUUUGACCUUUACUUUCAACUUUGUGAUACACUUUCAAAGAGUCGGAUUGUUUGGGAAUGCAGUCCAAAAUGGGUGGUAAAUUUCAUCUAAAGCUAAAUAUUGGCGAGAGACCGAUAGCGAACAAGUACCGUGAGGGAAAGAUGAAAAGAACCUUGAAAAGAGAGUUAAACAGUACGUGAAAUUGUCAAAAGGGAAGCGUUUGACACCAGUGUUGUUUUUCUGAAAAUCAAUUAAAGAACUGUUUAUGCUAAGUUGUUUAGACUUUAUCAGCUAACUGUUUAGUUUUGAGCUUUUCUUUAAUGCACUUUUCAGUUAACAAGUCAACAUCAAUUUCUUUUGCUGUAAAAAAGCUUGAGGAAGGUGGCUUGAGAUUCGUCUUAAGUGUUUAUAGCCUCUUGCCUAUGCAGUCGGAGAGAUUGAGGUCUGCAGCGUAGAUCCUUCGGGGCUAAAUGCAUUUGUGCUAAGUUAUAGCAUUUUAUAGACAAUUUGUUGACUAUGAUUUGUCUUGUAGCUUACUCGCUUAUGUUAUUUUACCUACGCUUAGGAUGUUGACAGCAGUAUAGACUGU